This 1024-nucleotide long non-coding RNA is filed under the name Junco hyemalis (dark-eyed junco). RNAcentral's name for it is "lncRNA (ENSJHYG00000003881.1)". Lineage: Eukaryota; Metazoa; Chordata; Aves; Passeriformes; Passerellidae. The record is from RNAcentral.
CGAAAAGAAUAUUUUGAUUUUUGACUAUUAUAUUUUUCCUUAAUUUUUGUUUGUUGUUAAUUUCUUGGAUUAAGAACUAAUGUUAAUGCUUAUAUCCCAGUCAUACAACUAAAGCAGACACAUUUAUUAAAGCUGAAUACUUAGCUCUUUUUGGAAAUUAUUUUAAUGUGUUUUAUUAUAAGGAAGAUUUGGUAGUUUGGGAGACUUAGAUGUGACAAUAUAUAUUAUAAAAUUACUCUAACAUAAGGAUUAAAAUUUGGAUACCAUUCCCACCUUUUAAUAGCCUGUUCUUUCAUUUGUCUAGACCGAGAACUGCUGAAGCUAUUUAACAUCUUAAUUUGUUCCAGCCAGACAACUAUGGCUUCAGAUUUCACAGCAAGAGCAUAACUCAUGAACAGCGAAUCAAUAUUUCUAUGCUCUAUACGGUUAAGUAAAAAUGGGUUUCAUAUCAGUAAGCAGAUCAAAGUAAUGCUUACAUCUGUAGUUUUGUAGCUACCAGCACUGCAAUUUUAAUUGGUGUUGGGAUCCACAGUGAAUGGCUCUUGGUCCUUCAGAUACACUUGCAUGCAUGAAGUUAACAGGUGUGUUUCUUGUUCACAGAAGGUAACUAAUGCAGAAAUAUCUCUGGUUUAGAGGUUUAUACUGCACAUAUGGAGAGGGAAGAGUCCACGUUUCUGCAUCGAUAGCAAAUGCAUCUCUGAGCUGUGAUCUCACACUGAUUGCCAGAUGGCAGCAGGAAGCCCAGAGCGCAUGUACUGACAAACAGCGGGGGAAAACCAGCUGCACAGAGUGAUUGCACACUGCCAGCAAAGAGCCACUGAGCUGGAGCCCAGAGAGAGCCCUGAGAUACCUGCCAAGUCGGAAAACACAGGUGGGAGCAAGGGUCUGCACUUCUUUUCCAAAUGACACAAGAAAAAAUGGACAAGUUUUGACAUGUGCACAUAACCAGGACAAGUAGCUGUGAACUUGCUGUGCUCCUUAUUACUCUCUGUAAUAAAAAAUUUCCAAAUAGGCUAAUUAUGCA